UACAGAGGGUGCAAGCGUUAAUCGGAAUUACUGGGCGUAAAGCGUGCGCAGGCGGUUUUGUAAGUCAGAUGUGAAAUCCCCGGGCUUAACCUGGGAACUGCGUUUGAAACUACAAGGCUAGAGUGUGGCAGAGGGGGGUGGAAUUCCACGUGUAGCAGUGAAAUGCGUAGAGAUCGGCAGGAACACCCAGGGGGAAACCAGUCGACUGGGCAGCACCUGACGCUGAGGUGCGAGAGCGUGGGGAGCGAACCGG
This 253-nucleotide ribosomal RNA is filed under the name uncultured bacterium. RNAcentral's name for it is "partial 16S ribosomal RNA". It matches the Rfam family "Bacterial small subunit ribosomal RNA", at positions 524 to 776 of the family's 1533-position model. The record is from RNAcentral.